Molecule: ribosomal RNA, 460 nt
Filed under: uncultured bacterium
Lineage: Bacteria
Description: partial 16S ribosomal RNA
Rfam family: Bacterial small subunit ribosomal RNA
Source: RNAcentral
CCUACGGGGUGCUGCAGUGAGGAAUAUUGGUCAAUGGACGAGAGUCUGAACCAGCCAAGUAGCGUGAAGGAUGACUGCCCUAUGGGUUGUAAACUUCUUUUAUAAAGAAAUAAAACGAGGCACGUGUGCCUUUUUGCAUGUACUUUAUGAAUAAGGAUCGGCUAACUCCGUGCCAGCAGCCGCGGUAAUACGGAGGAUCCGAGCGUUAUCCGGAUUUAUUGGGUUUAAAGGGAGCGUAGAUGGGUUGUUAAGUCAGUUGUGAAAGUUUGCGGCUCAACCGUAAAAUUGCAAUUGAUACUGGCAGUCGUGAGUACAGUUGAGGUAGGCGGAAUUCGUGGUGUAGCGGUGAAAUGCUUAGAUAUCACGAAGAACCCCGAUUGCGAAGGCAGCUUACUAAACUGUGACUGACAUUGAUGCUCGAAAGUGUGGGUAUCAAACAGGAUUAGAUACCCGAGUAGUC